CUGGAACUGUGCAGGUUCAGUGUACUGAUCUCUGCUCACCCUGUGGUUCUAGAUUGGCAGUUGGCCAGUCGCUGACAUUGCGCAGAGUGGCACCCGUUUUGGGAGUUCCUGAUGCACUUGUUCCACUCGAUAUGCCUAUCUGCCAACUUAACCUUUUUCCUGGAGAAACUACAGUAAUUUGGUUAUCAAUAGACGUCCCGAGUGAACAGACACCAGGGCAAUAUGAGGGAGAAAUCAUCAUUUCCGCCUCCAAAGCUGAAGCAGAA
RNAcentral lists this unclassified non-coding RNA (266 nucleotides) under Hevea brasiliensis (rubber tree). The record is from RNAcentral. Lineage: Eukaryota; Viridiplantae; Streptophyta; Magnoliopsida; Malpighiales; Euphorbiaceae.